Molecule: non-coding RNA, 231 nt
Organism: Schizosaccharomyces pombe (fission yeast)
Lineage: Eukaryota; Fungi; Ascomycota; Schizosaccharomycetes; Schizosaccharomycetales; Schizosaccharomycetaceae
Source: the annotation of a GenBank genome assembly
AAUCUGCAAGGCUGGAACCGUAAAUGUGUAAUCUUGAACCUAUAAUAAUAAUAAGUACAGUGUCGAGUUAGCCAUCAAAACGAUCCACUCUAACACUGACCUGAGCACAUAACACCUUUAUCACGCCGAAAUAUUAUAGCGCGAGCAGAAUAGGAAUACUAAUAGAUUAGUCAAAGCAGCCUCUGUAGAGAACCAAGGAAACCCGUUUAUCCCUUAGCAAAAAAAAGGGCU